This 879-nucleotide long non-coding RNA is filed under the name Pan troglodytes (chimpanzee). RNAcentral describes it as "long non-coding RNA NONPTRT001141". The record is from RNAcentral. Lineage: Eukaryota; Metazoa; Chordata; Mammalia; Primates; Hominidae.
GAAACCACAGGAUUACAGCACUUUCAGAUGGGAACCACUCAGACUGUGUCCUCUCUCUCUUACUCUCCCAGAGAAGAGAAGAACGAUCAUCAAUGGCCAAUGGCAGUUGCAGCGAAGCCACACCAAGAGCCGGCUUCAUGCUCAGGAGAGAACGCUGCACUUCCUGCUCAUGGUUUCCGGUGCUCUACAAGUUCACAGAAACUUCUCUAGUAGUGCACUGUAGAAAUGAUUCCUGAAAAUAUAGUCUUGAUGAGGUGACUCUUAAUCUGGAUUCUCCCCAUGUCAGUCUUCUGUAUGUGUACAAGUAUGUGUAGGUCUUCUCUUUUGGGCUAGUAGGUUUCCCCCAUAGAAAAAUUUCUAAUGUUCUACCUGGGAAUGGGAGGCUGCUGCUAGACUUUGGAUUGCUGAACAGGAUAAGGGCACAGUGGGCCUUGUUCUUCAUUAUGUAGACGAGCAGAAUACCUGUACUUUGUUGCUUCACUCCUGUCUUCAGCGAUGUCAGCGUGCCUGAAUCUGGGACCUCUUUGGUUCAACAUCAUCCAGGAGAAAACUUCUUAUCUAGGGUUGAGGGAGCAGUUGCAUGGCUCCGUGGAAUAUGGGAGAAAUUCUGGGAUUUGAACUGCUCUUUAUAUCACUGCUUUUCAAAUUUUAAGGGGUUUACAGAGCACUUGGGAGUUAAAGUGUAGGCCUGAUUCGGUAGGUCUGGAUGGGACCUGAAAUUCUGCAUUUCUAACACACUUUUAAGAGUGCCUAUGCUGCUGGCCCACAGGCUUUGGCUAACAAAGUUUUAGCUGAACUAUCAAUCCAACUUUCCUUGAAUGCUGAUGCUUUCCUAGGGUUCUGGGGACAUGAAUAAAGUGACAUUUCCUUGAUUUUUCC